RNAcentral lists this microRNA precursor (93 nucleotides) under Drosophila melanogaster (fruit fly). RNAcentral describes it as "microRNA dme-mir-287 precursor". Its record names the gene dme-mir-287. The stretch from base 20 to 92 matches the Rfam family "mir-287 microRNA precursor family". Lineage: Eukaryota; Metazoa; Arthropoda; Insecta; Diptera; Drosophilidae. The record is from miRBase by way of RNAcentral.
GGACGCCGGGGAUGUAUGGGUGUGUAGGGUCUGAAAUUUUGCACACAUUUACAAUAAUUGUAAAUGUGUUGAAAAUCGUUUGCACGACUGUGA